Molecule: ribosomal RNA, 446 nt
Filed under: uncultured bacterium
Lineage: Bacteria
Description: partial 16S ribosomal RNA
Rfam family: Bacterial small subunit ribosomal RNA
Source: RNAcentral
CCUACGUGGGGCUGCAGUCGAGAAUCAUUCACAAUGGGGGAAACCCUGAUGGUGCGACGCCGCGUGGGGGAAUGAAGGUCUUCGGAUUGUAAACCCCUGUUAUGUGGGAGCAAAUUAAAAAGAUAGUACCACAAGAGGAAGAGACGGCUAACUCUGUGCCAGCAGCCGCGGUAAUACAGAGGUCUCACGCGUUGUUCGGAAUCACUGGGCGUAAAGCAUGCGUAGGCGGUUUCGUAAGUCGUGUGUGAAAGGCGCGGGCUCAACCCGCGGACGGCACAUGACACUGCGAGACUAGAGUAAUGGAGGGGGAACCGGAAUGCUCGGUGUAGCAGUGAAAUGCGUAGAUAUCGGGAGGAACACUCGUGGCGAAGGCGGGUUCCUGGACAUUAACUGACGCUGAGGCACGAAGGCCAGGGGAGCGAAAGGGAUUAGAUACCCCAGUAGUC